AGCUACAGUCAUAUCACCCUGCAGCCCAAGACCGGUUACUCACUGAAGCUAAGCAGGGCUGAGCCUGGUCAGUACCUGGAUGGGAGACCACAUGGGAACACCAGGGUCCUGAUGGAA
Danio rerio (zebrafish) is the source of this 117-nucleotide non-coding RNA. NCBI's taxonomy places the organism in Eukaryota, Metazoa, Chordata, Actinopteri, Cypriniformes, Danionidae. The record is from Rfam.